RNAcentral lists this unclassified non-coding RNA (397 nucleotides) under Hevea brasiliensis (rubber tree). The record is from RNAcentral. Lineage: Eukaryota; Viridiplantae; Streptophyta; Magnoliopsida; Malpighiales; Euphorbiaceae.
GAAGCUUUGCUUUGUUCGCCAAUUCUUCUAAGCCAAGUCAGCCGGAUGUAUUUAGAUCCAUUCCCAAAGCCUUAUCAGUACAGUAUAUUAGAUUUUGUCCUGACGGACACUUGAGACGAGUUGGACACGGAUAGGUGGAAACAAGUUGCAGAUCUGCUUUCAGCUCCGAAUGAAUGUUUCUACCCUAUAGUUUGCGGGAACUAUGGAAUUUGCUCCAAUGGGCAGUGCCGUUCUCCUUCAACAACUUAUUUCAAGCAAAUANNNNNUGCCUAAUCAUGGGUUUUCUGAAACUACUCCCUUGUCUUGUGAAGCUUCUCUAAAUCACGGUUUUAUAGAGCUCAACGAUACAACAUAUUCCCCCCUUCUCAGUGAUCUUAAAAAUGUGGAUUUGGAUCCA